CAUACCUUACUGUUGCCUCGGCGGAUCAGCCCGCUCCCGGUAAAACGGGACGGCCCGCCAGAGGACCCCUAAACUCUGUUUCUAUAUGUAACUUCUGAGUAAAACCAUAAAUAAAUCAAAACUUUCAACAACGGAUCUCUUGGUUCUGGCAUCGAUGAAGAACGCAGCAAAAUGCGAUAAGUAAUGUGAAUUGCAGAAUUCAGUGAAUCAUCGAAUCUUUGAACGCACAUUGCGCCCGCCAGUAUUCUGGCGGGCAUGCCUGUUCGAGCGUCAUUUCAACCCUCAAGCCCUCGGGUUUGGUGUUGGGGAUCGGCGAGCCUUUCUGGCAAGCCGGCCCCGAAAUCUAGUGGCGGUCUCGCUGCAGCCUCCAUUGCGUAGUAGUAAAACCCUCGCAACUGGAACGCGGCGCGGCCAAGCCGUUAAACCCCCAACUUCUGAAUGUUGACCUCGGAUCAGGUAGGAAUACCCGCUGAACUUAA
Molecule: ribosomal RNA, 479 nt
Filed under: fungal sp. KL-2011
Lineage: Eukaryota; Fungi
Description: eukaryotic LSU rRNA
Rfam family: 5.8S ribosomal RNA (bases 120-273)
Source: RNAcentral